This is a long non-coding RNA of Danio rerio (zebrafish), 1728 nucleotides long. NCBI's taxonomy places the organism in Eukaryota, Metazoa, Chordata, Actinopteri, Cypriniformes, Danionidae. The record is from Ensembl.
ACAUCUUUUUAGCCAAUUUAUUAAUUUAUUAUCUCUCUCUUGCGCACUCUCGCGUGUGGCUGUGUGCAUUCGCGUCUCUCUCUCUCUCUCUCUCUCUCUCUCUCUCUCUCUAUCUCUCUCUCUCUCUCUCUCUCUCUCUCUCUCUCUCUCUCUCUCUCUGUGUGUGCGCGUAGUUGUGUAGUCUCUCUCUUUCAGUGCGCGAGGAAGCGCCAGAGAGUCGCGGGCGGAGCGGAAGGGACUCUGCGGGAUUUGAGCGCUGAUCUCCGGCAGCAGAUCUCUCUGUGAUCGCGCUUCUGCUGCUGGAAACACCGGAGCACCGGUCACCACUCACCGGGAGUUACGGGAGAGAAGCGCGGGAUGGUGGACAACAACAAAACACAGAUGGAGGGUCUUUCUUCGGGCCUGAAGCUGGAGGCGAUGUUGGAGCAUCUCCAUCAGCAGCAGCAGGAGCGUCUGCACAGUGAGCAGCAGCAGCGGCGGCUCCGCGAGGCUCACUUCUUCUACACGCAGCAGCUUGCGGCUCAGCAGGCCAUACUAGCGGCCGCCCGCGCCUCUGGAGCCGCACUCAUCAACACACAUGCCUCACUGCUCUCCAGCAGUGUGGACUCUGAGCGUGAGGAUGAGGAGGAGCGGGGCCGAGACUCCGCCGAGGAUGAAGAUGAAGAUGAUGAAGACAGUGAGGAAGACGAGCUCGACUUCCUUCGUAAGCAGAGUUUGGCGCUCCAGCAGAGAGAUACAGCUGUUUCUGGCAGCCGGUCAGGCCCCGGGGCCCCUGGAGCUACAGUCAGGGUUAAAGAGGAGCCCGAGGAGGAGCCGAGCCCUGCUGACCGGCCCUCAGAUACAUCUCCAAAUGGCCCUGCGGACUGGAGCUAUGAGGAGCCAUUUAAAGCGAUCAACUUUUUUUGUAUGUAAUUACAGUCAAAGCAUUGGGUUUGUGAUCCGGAUGAUCCGGUUCUGCAGGUGUCGGUGGUCUUGUCCUUAUUGUGCUGCUGUUUAACAUGCGUGGGCUGACGGCUGAAUGUUGGAGAGUUGAACAACAAUUUAACAGGCAAAUAAGAGCUCCGCGUCCGCCACGCACACCCGAGGAAGACCUUUAAAAUGCACUCAUGCGAUCCGUCUUAUUCUGCAUAUGUUUGCUCAAGGUUUUGCCAUGACAGAUGUCGUCUAAUCCAGCGCUCAAUAGACGGGUUCAAUCAAACAAAUGCACUAACAGAUCCACUACAACUAAUGCAAACACACAAACCCACACACACACACACACACACGCUGAAACAGGACUCGCAAAAGGUUAACUUUCAUUUUCUUUCCUUUUUUUUUGUUUAAAUAAAUCCGUUUCAUUGUUCUAAAUUCCUUUAUAUGUUCCUUUGUUUCUGUGUGGAGUUUGCAUGUUCUCUCCAUAUUGGUGUGGGUUUCCUCCACAUGCUCUGGUUUCCUCCACAGUCCAAACACAUGCGCUAUAGGGGAAUAGGGUAGGCUAAAUUGACCCUAGUGUAUGUGUGUAAAACAGUGUUUGUGGGUGUUUUCCAGUGAUGGGUUGUGGCUGGAAGGGCAUCCGCUGUGUAAAACAUAUGCUGGAUAAGUUGGCGGUUCAUUCUGUUGUGGCGACCCCUGAUUAAUAAAGGGACUAAGCCUAAAAUAAAUCGAAUGAAUGACAUUUAAAUUAAUUUUAAUUUAUUUUAUUGUAUUUAUUUUUUUUUUUAAACGAAUAUCUUUUUUUAUGGAACUUAA